This 210-nucleotide long non-coding RNA is filed under the name Elaeis guineensis (African oil palm). RNAcentral's name for it is "long non-coding RNA (EGUI_LNC050951)". The record is from RNAcentral. Lineage: Eukaryota; Viridiplantae; Streptophyta; Magnoliopsida; Arecales; Arecaceae.
UGGCCUAUCCAGGCAUCAGGUAUCAUUGCUAGAUAACCACUCUGAUUGAUACAAAAAUAUGUUUAUGUGCUAUUAGCUUAGAUUCGAACUUAUGGAGUCAAAGAUGUUAGAAGUUUCUCUCCGAUCAGAUGGAUGAUCUGAAGAGUCCCACUGGACUGAGAUACUAUUGAAGAGUCCCAUUGGAUGAAGACUCUGGUGAAGAGUCUCACU